ACACUUACCUGGCAGGGGUAUACCUUGAUCACACUAGUGGUUUUCCAAGGAGAGGCUUAUCCAUUGCACUCCAGAAGUGUUGACCCCUGUGAUUUCCCCAAAUAUGGGAAACCCAACUGCAUGGUCUGUGGUAGUGCAUUUGGGGGAAGGGAGGGGAAUGUU
RNAcentral lists this small nuclear RNA (162 nucleotides) under Castor canadensis (American beaver). RNAcentral describes it as "U1 spliceosomal RNA (ENSCCNG00000010701.1)". It matches the Rfam family "U1 spliceosomal RNA". From Rfam's summary of the family: U1 is a small nuclear RNA (snRNA) component of the spliceosome (involved in pre-mRNA splicing). Its 5' end forms complementary base pairs with the 5' splice junction, thus defining the 5' donor site of an intron. Lineage: Eukaryota; Metazoa; Chordata; Mammalia; Rodentia; Castoridae. The record is from Rfam by way of RNAcentral.